This 955-nucleotide ribosomal RNA is filed under the name uncultured organism. RNAcentral's name for it is "bacterial SSU rRNA". It matches the Rfam family "Bacterial small subunit ribosomal RNA", at positions 252 to 1230 of the family's 1533-position model. The record is from RNAcentral.
GUGAGGUAACGGCUCACCAGUGGCGACGACGGAUAGGGGGCCUGAGAGGGUGACCCCCACAGCUGGAACUGAGACACGGUCCAUACUCCUACGGGAGGCAGCAGUAAGGAAUAUUGCACAAUGGGCGCAAGCCUGAUGCAGCAACGCCGCGUGAGGGAUGAAGGGUUUCGGCUCGUAAACCUCUUUUCUGUGUGAAGAGCAACGACGGUAGCACAGGAAUAAGUCUCGGCUAACUACGUGCCAGGAGCCGCGGUAAAACGUAGGAGGCGAGCGUUAUCCGGAAUUACUGGGCGUAAAGCGCACGUAGGCGGCGCUGCAAGUGGUGCGUGAAAGCUCCCGGCUCAACUGGGAGAGGCCGUACCAAACUGCGGUGCUAGAGACAGAUAGAGGUCGACAGAACUCCGGGUGGAGUGGUGAAAUGCGUAGAGAUCCGGAGGAAUACCAGAGGCGACGGCGGUCGGCUGGGUCUGGUCUGACGCUGAGGUGCGAAAGUGUGGGGAGCGAACGGGAUUAGAAACCCCGGUAGUCCACACCGUAAACGAUGCAUACUAGUGUGCUAGGCGCCUACGGGCGCUGAGUGACGAAGACAACGCGUAAAGUAACAACGCCUGGGGAGUACGAUCGCAAGGCUACUACUCAAAGGCAGUGACGGGGGCCCGCACAAGCAGCGGAGCGUGUGGUUGAAAUCGAGGCUACGUGAAGAACCGUACAUGGGCUAGACAUGGUAAUAGUAGCCCGGGUGGAAACACCGGGGGACCUUCGGGAGCUAUCACAGGGACUGCAUGGAGGUCGUCAGCUCGGGCCCUGAGAGGUUCGGUUAAGUCCGAAAACGAGCGCAACACCCUGGCGUCAGUCACAAGUGAUCUAACGCGACUGCCCGGGGAAACUGGGAGGAAGCUGGGGAUGACGUCAAGUCAGCAUGGCCAGGAUGUCCAGGGCGACACACACGCUACAA